ACGCUCGACACCUACGAGAGGCAGCAGUGAGGAAUAUUGGUCAAUGGGCGCAGGCCUGAACCAGCCAAGUAGCGUGAAGGAUGACUGCCCUAUGGGUUGUAAACUUCUUUUAUAUGGGAAUAAAGUUUUCCACGUGUGGAAUUUUGUAUGUACCAUAUGAAUAAGGAUCGGCUAACUCCGUGCCAGCAGCCGUGGUAAUCUGAGCGGGCUGGCAAGGC
RNAcentral lists this ribosomal RNA (218 nucleotides) under uncultured bacterium. Its description in RNAcentral is "partial 16S ribosomal RNA". It matches the Rfam family "Bacterial small subunit ribosomal RNA", at positions 328 to 539 of the family's 1533-position model. The record is from RNAcentral.